AACGAACGCUGGCGGCAUGCCUAACACAUGCAAGUCGAACGAGACCUUCGGGUCUAGUGGCGCACGGGUGCGUAACGCGUGGGAACCUGCACUUAGGUUCGGAAUAACUCCCCGAAAGGGGUGCUAAUACCGGAUAAUGUCUUCGGACCAAAGAUUUAUCGCCUUUGGAUGGGCCCGCGUUGGAUUAGCUAGUUGGUAGGGUAAAAGCCUACCAAGGCGACGAUCCAUAGCUGGCCUGAGAGGAUGAUCAGCCACACUGGGACUGAGACACGGCCCAGACUCCUACGGGAGGCAGCAGUGGGGAAUAUUGGACAAUGGGCGAAAGCCUGAUCCAGCAAUGCCGCGUGAGUGAUGAAGGCCUUAGGGUUGUAAAGCUCUUUUACCCGGGAUGAUAAUGACAGUACCGGGAGAAUAAGCUCCGGCUAACUCCGUG
RNAcentral lists this ribosomal RNA (433 nucleotides) under uncultured bacterium. Its description in RNAcentral is "partial 16S ribosomal RNA". It matches the Rfam family "Bacterial small subunit ribosomal RNA", at positions 29 to 507 of the family's 1533-position model. The record is from RNAcentral.